Molecule: ribosomal RNA, 167 nt
Filed under: Lepisosteus oculatus (spotted gar)
Lineage: Eukaryota; Metazoa; Chordata; Actinopteri; Semionotiformes; Lepisosteidae
Source: RNAcentral
UAAAGCAGCCAUAUCACCCUGCAACUCACAACUGGUAACCCACAGAAGCUAAGCAGGUGUGAGCCUGGUCAGAUAUUUCAGAAUAACCCACAGAAGCUAAGCAGGUGUGAGCCUGGUCAGUACCUGGAUAAGAGACCUCCUGGGAAAAACUAAGGUUGCUGCUGGAA